GACGAACGCUGGCGGCGUGCUUAACACAUGCAAGUCGAACGGAAAGGCCCUGCUUUUGUGGGGUGCUCGAGUGGCGAACGGGUGAGUAACACGUGAGUAAACUGCCCUUGACUUUGGGAUAACUCCAGGAAACUGGGGCUAUUAUCGGAUAGGAGCUCCUGCUGCACGGUGGGGGUUGGUAAGUUUCGGCGGUUGGGGAUGGACUCGCGGCUUAUCAGCUUGUUGGUGGGGUAGUGGCUUACAAAGGCUUUGACGGGUAGCCGGCCUGAGAGGGUGACCGGCCACAAUGGGACUGAGAUACGGCCCAGACUCCUACGGGAGGCAGCGGUGGGGAAUAUUACGCAAUGGGCGGAAGCCUGAUGCAGCAACGCCGCGUGCGGAAUGACGGCCUUCGGGUUGUAAACCGCUUUCGCCUGUGACGAAGCGUGAGUGACGGUAAUGGGUAAAGAAGCACCGGCUAACUACGUG
Molecule: ribosomal RNA, 468 nt
Filed under: uncultured bacterium
Lineage: Bacteria
Description: partial 16S ribosomal RNA
Rfam family: Bacterial small subunit ribosomal RNA
Source: RNAcentral